CUUGUAGGCGGUUUGUCGCGUCUGCCGUGAAAGCCCAGGGCUUAACCCUGGGUUUGCGGUGGGUACGGGCAGGCUAGAGUAUGGUAGGGGAGACUGGAAUUCCUGGUGUAGCGGUGAAAUGCGCAGAUAUCAGGAGGAACACCGAUGGCGAAGGCAGGUCUCUGGGCCAUUACUGACGCUGAGAAGCGAAAGCAUGGGGAGCGAACA
This 207-nucleotide ribosomal RNA is filed under the name uncultured bacterium. RNAcentral describes it as "partial 16S ribosomal RNA". It matches the Rfam family "Bacterial small subunit ribosomal RNA", at positions 568 to 774 of the family's 1533-position model. The record is from RNAcentral.